GUGGGGAAUAUUGCACAAUGGGGGAAACCCUGAUGCAGCGACGCCGCGUGAGCGAAGAAGUAUUUCGGUAUGUAAAGCUCUAUCAGCAGGGAAGAAGAAAUGACGGUACCUGACUAAGAAGCACCGGCUAAAUACGUGCCAGCAGCCGCGGUAAUACGUAUGGUGCAAGCGUUAUCCGGAUUUACUGGGUGUAAAGGGAGCGCAGGUGGUACGGCAAGUCUGAUGUGAAAGCCCGGGGCUCAACCCCGGUACUGCAUUGGAAACUGUCGGACUAGAGUGUCGGAGGGGUAAGUGGAAUUCCUAGUGUAGCGGUGAAAUGCGUAGAUAUUAGGAGGAACACCAGUGGCGAAGGCGGCUUACUGGACGAUUACUGACGCUGAGGCUCGAAAGCGUGGGGAGCAAACAGGAUUAGAAACCCCGGUAGUCC
RNAcentral lists this ribosomal RNA (427 nucleotides) under uncultured bacterium. RNAcentral describes it as "partial 16S ribosomal RNA". It matches the Rfam family "Bacterial small subunit ribosomal RNA", at positions 354 to 796 of the family's 1533-position model. The record is from RNAcentral.